This 516-nucleotide long non-coding RNA is filed under the name Mytilus galloprovincialis (Mediterranean mussel). Lineage: Eukaryota; Metazoa; Mollusca; Bivalvia; Mytilida; Mytilidae. The record is from RNAcentral.
AUAAAUAAUAUUUUUAUUAUCAAACAUUUAUUCAUAAUGUUACUGUCAAUGAUAACUGAGAGUUUUAUGAUCAUUUCCCUGCAACUGAUCUGGUACAGUUCAACUAUGCAAAUUUCGGUAUCUGUACAGCUAAGGAUAUAUACAUGUAUCAGCGAUGGUAACUUGUAAUAAAUUGCAUACAGUGAAAGGGAGAUGGCAAGAUUCUUCAUCUUUAUUGUGUGUCUCAUUCACUGCAAAUAUCUCAAUUUCUUGUGCAAUCAGUUGCUCUGUGCCUUUCACUGGUGCUAGAAAAAAAACAGCAUGACAAUCAAAUUUAAGCGUUCAUAUUUUUUCAUUCUCUUUCCAUCUUCAGUGUGGAUUGAAACUGGAACAGAUGUCUCCUCCAUACUGGUACCAACAGCUGUUCAUGGUCGAGGAUUACUCUCUUUUUAACUCCAUUUGUUAAUUUCUACAUCUUUUCCUCUUUGGCAUUCUAAAUUAAAAAAAAAGAUAGAGUUGAAUAGACUAUUUGUCUUA